This 349-nucleotide unclassified non-coding RNA is filed under the name Hevea brasiliensis (rubber tree). Lineage: Eukaryota; Viridiplantae; Streptophyta; Magnoliopsida; Malpighiales; Euphorbiaceae. The record is from RNAcentral.
AUUUCUUUUCCUUAUUUGUUCCCCCUCCUCUACUAUAUAAAUAAGACCCCUCCCUUCAUUUAAAAAACACCAUUUUACUCUCAAUCACAAAAACUCUCUCAUCAUUCUCCCUUCUCUCAUUUGCUCUCUUGCUACUUAACAAAACAUUAAUACUCCGGUAAUUAUUCAAGUGUUCCUCUUUGCUUCUUAUUACUUUGUUCAAGUAAAGGUUGAAUCAAUUCGUUUUGCUUAACGGGUUAGCAUUCUUAACAUUCACACUAUUUUUACAUUCACAAUUUGUGUAAGCUAUUGUUUUGUAUGUAGAAUUCUUCAUUGAACGAUUGCAUAUUGUCUCACCUUAACUAACAAG